CAGCCGCCACGGGAAUACGAGGGGGGCAAGCGUUGUUCGGAAUUAUUGGGCGUAAAGGGUGCGUAGGCGGUCUGAUAAGUCUUAUGUGAAAUCUCUGGGCUCAACCCAGAGUCUGCAUGGGAAACUGUCAGGCUUGAGAAUGGGAGAGGUGAGUGGAAUUUCCGGUGUAGCGGUGAAAUGCGUAGAUAUCGGAAGGAACACCUGUGGCGAAAGCGGCUCACUGGACCAUUUCUGACGCUGAUGCACGAAAGCUAGGGGAGCAAACAGGAUUAGAGACCCCAGUAGUCCCUGUCUCUUAUAC
Molecule: ribosomal RNA, 301 nt
Filed under: uncultured bacterium
Lineage: Bacteria
Description: partial 16S ribosomal RNA
Rfam family: Bacterial small subunit ribosomal RNA
Source: RNAcentral